This 68-nucleotide transfer RNA is filed under the name Entemnotrochus adansonianus. RNAcentral's name for it is "tRNA-Met". It matches the Rfam family "tRNA". Rfam says of the family: Transfer RNA (tRNA) molecules are approximately 80 nucleotides in length. The record is from RNAcentral. Lineage: Eukaryota; Metazoa; Mollusca; Gastropoda; Pleurotomariida; Pleurotomariidae.
AAUAAGAUAAGCUAAUUUGUAAGCUGCUGGGCUCAUACCCCAGAAAUGAAGGUAUUAUUCUCUUGUUG